Lupinus angustifolius (narrow-leaved blue lupine) is the source of this 97-nucleotide microRNA precursor. The record is from Rfam. NCBI's taxonomy places the organism in Eukaryota, Viridiplantae, Streptophyta, Magnoliopsida, Fabales, Fabaceae.
AGAAUAGAUUUGAGCCAGGGAUGACUUGCCGGCAUGAAAAACAAGAUUUAAUCUUUUCUUAUUGCCGGCUGUUGUCCUUGGCUCAUGCCUGCUCUCU